RNAcentral lists this long non-coding RNA (388 nucleotides) under Mytilus galloprovincialis (Mediterranean mussel). The record is from RNAcentral. Lineage: Eukaryota; Metazoa; Mollusca; Bivalvia; Mytilida; Mytilidae.
GUAACAUAACAGUUACACCAGAACAAGUAAGUCAUUCCACUAGUGUGUCAAUGUAACAUAACAGUUACACCAGAACAAGUAAGUCAUUCCACUUGUGUGUCAAUAUAACAUAACAGUUACACCAGAACAAGUAAGUCAUUCCAUUAGUGUGUCAAUGUAACAUAACAGUUACACCAGAAGAAGUAAGUCAUUCCACUAGUGUGUCAAUGUAACAUAACAGUAACAUAAGAACAAGUAAGUCAUUCCACUAGUGUGUCAAUGUAACAUAACAGUUACACCAGAACAAGUAAGUCAUUCCACUAGUGUGUCAAUGUAACAUAACAGUUAGACCAGAACAUGUAAAUCAUUCUACUAGUGUGUCAAUGUAACAUAACAGUUACACCAGAAC